This is a long non-coding RNA of Brassica oleracea var. oleracea, 2746 nucleotides long. RefSeq lists it as uncharacterized. The record is from RefSeq and is a predicted model, not a curated record. The transcript has 9 exons. Lineage: Eukaryota; Viridiplantae; Streptophyta; Magnoliopsida; Brassicales; Brassicaceae.
GAAAAAGAAAAAAAGCAAUUAAGACAAGAAACGCCGCUUGAAUUGGGACAAUAAAAGUCAUCUCUUAAUAAGAAUACGUGUUGAGACUUGGCUUUUCCUUCUUCCUCUUUUGAUUCUCCUCUUGGAUCAAUCUCCGGCGGAGGAGGGGAAACAAGCGGCUGCUUCCGGUUAUUACGGUGGAUUCUUUGAAGCUCAAGGCACAUGGAACGCGCGUAAGGACGAGAGAAGGAGUCGCACAACCGUGAGGAGUCACGUAAUAAGGGAGGUGAACCCCGGGAUGAAUCGGUGAGUUCGGUUGCGGAAGUUUCUUGAUGUCAUCAACGUCCGGUUUACUUCGGUGGUUGGAUAAGCGAUGGAAGUUGUGAGGAGGAGGAGGAGGAGGAGAGAGAUCAAGAUCGAACGGUUCAUGUGUGUCGUCGCCUUUAGUUACUAAUGCUAUAUCUGUAACAAAGUUUCAAAGCGUCACAGAAUCAACAAGACAACUACAUUCAGCGACUGGUGGGUUUAGCAAGUCUAAUGUUGUUGGUCACGGUGGGUUUGGAUUGGUUUAUCGUGGUUUGCUUAACAACGGGAGAAAAGUUGCUAUCAAGUUUAUUGAUAAUGCAGGAAAUCAAGGUGAAGAAGAGUUCAAGAUGGAGGUUGAGCUGCUAAGCCGUCUGCGUUCACCGUACUUGUUGUCUCUUCUUGGUUAUUGCUCAGACAAUAGUCACAAACUGCUUGUGUAUGAGUACAUGCCAAAUGGCUGUCUGCAGCAACACCUGUAUCCUAUUAAUAGUUUCAAAGGCCUCCUGGACCAAUUCCAUGGUCAAUGCUCGGAUUAGAAGUCUACACAGGAGCCAUUGAUAACUUUGGUUUUGAGGAUUACUUGAAUGGAUAUCAAGCCCUUUAAGCAUGUCCACGUCAGCCAGUAAUAUUGCAACAAUCAUCCACGUCAUCUUUGAUGAAUUGCCAUGUCAUAAAAGCUUUGUUCGGAAAAAAAAUACCGAAACUUUCGUGUGAUCAUGAUAUUUUCUAAUGGCCCAGUCAAGCCCACUUCUCGAAACGGCUCACACCUUUGUCGUCUCAGUUUUGUAUCCCUGCAAAUCUCCGUUACCACAACCCUUUCUUUAUCAAUCAAUUAUACCUUUUACUCCUUUUUUAUGGUUUCCUUUCACCUCCUCCCUAUGUAUCUUCUCCUAUAAAGAUCGUUUCUUCAAAAUUUUAACCCAAACCAAAAUCGAAAAACCUCCACUAAUGAAGGUAAAGCCUAUGGCCAUGAAAAAUAAAUAAUUCAGUCUCUUGCUCUUCCUCUACUCUACAUACCCGGUAAUCAAACCCGCAGUAUUCAUAGCUAUAAAACGGCGAAAUCCACCGCGUUUGCCAUCAAGUUUGCUUGCUUCCAUUGUUGCAGCUUCAUAACUCGUGCCCUGUUUGUCAUAUGAGUUCCCCACAGACGAUGCUGAUUACAAGUUCAUGACUCAUGGAGGUCAGACCAGUGGGGAAGUCGGACAACGAACGGUUGAGAGUUCCCCGACGCCGAGGAGGUUUAGUGUAUCAUAUCCAUGGCCACUCAGGAGACAUGAUACGAAUUAGGAUUCUGUGAGUGGAUCUGAUAUCGAUACUAGAAAUUCAUGGCAUACACUGAAAUUCUCUAAACAUUUGAAGAUCAAGAGGAGUUAAAAGAGAUUUUGACCUUCGAAUGCUAGCAAGAAGGCGGAUCAAUGGGAAGCUUUUCGAAUAUACUCUGUACACAUUCCUUUUACCUGUCCUUCUCUCCAAUAUUUGUGUUGCCAGUGUUAACAAUGGGUUAUGGAGAUGGGGAAGAAGCUUGCAAAGAGGAUAAGGAAGCAAAGGGCCUUACAUUGUCCUGAGUCUAAUUGUGGCUUUGAAAAUUUAUUUUCUACACCGAAGAAAAGAAGAAGCCAGUGACUGUUUUAACGUUUUGUUGUCUUCUAGGCUCUGUAAAUGUUCUUAAAACUGGUGUUUUGAUGAUUAUGUGCCUCAUAUUUGUUUUUCUUUCUAUGGAUAGGUUAUAAAUCACAGCUCAUUGAAUGAAAAAAAGUACCUAACUCCGUAUUUUCCAAUGGUCUUACAUAAUCGUCUCCAAUGGCAUCAGGGGCCUUAUGCUACUGUCGAUAUACUACAGAUUCCACCAAUAUCAUAUCUUCAAAGCCAAAAAGGGGGAAGAUGAACAUGGCGACUUGAAGCCAGCCUCUAUCGCUGAGGGUGGAAACUGCAGCAAACCAUAGUAGACGCUAGAAGGUGCUCGCAGGUUGAAGCAAAAGAAGUUUUCUUUUCUGUUACAAAGCUUUCCCAAUCUAAAGACACUGGUUUGGGAAAGAAUGGUUUACUUUAUCAUAAAGGAACUUUCUCCAUCAGCGGAUAAAGUUUGUAGUUUGUAAUUUGCUUAAGUAGCUGAAUCCUAACACUAAUACUGAGGGUAUAGUUUCUGAAUUCUGAUAAUUUGUUUGUUUUUCUAUGGUUAGUAUUGUUACAAGCUCCCUGAUCAGCGAUAUGAAUAGCAAGAUUGAUAUGUAUCUUGCAAAUGGUACAACUCUCUAAUACCGAAUAAUAGACAAAACCCUUUUUACACAAAUUAAGUGGUACUUGAAACAAGCGAUUGUGGAUAAGAACUAUGUUGUUUCAAGCUCUGUUAGUAAGUUCUUUUGCAUGAUUCUUAGUUGCAAAACCAAAACUCAGGUUAUGCUGCAAAAUGAUUAGUUUCAUAAAUAUCAGCUUCUACAUUGAUAUAUAUGUAGAAAAAGAA